Molecule: ribosomal RNA, 253 nt
Filed under: uncultured bacterium
Lineage: Bacteria
Description: partial 16S ribosomal RNA
Rfam family: Bacterial small subunit ribosomal RNA
Source: RNAcentral
UACGUAGGGGGCAAGCGUUAUCCGGAUUUACUGGGUGUAAAGGGAGCGUAGACGGCGAUGCAAGCCAGAUGUGAAAGCCCGGGGCUCAACCCCGGGACUGCAUUUGGAACUGUGUGGCUGGAGUGUCGGAGAGGCAAGUGGAAUUCCUAGUGUAGCGGUGAAAUGCGUAGAUAUUAGGAGGAACACCAGUGGCGAAGGCGGCUUGCUGGACGAUGACUGACGUUGAGGCUCGAAAGCGUGGGGGGCAAACAGG